RNAcentral lists this ribosomal RNA (497 nucleotides) under uncultured bacterium. Its description in RNAcentral is "partial 16S ribosomal RNA". It matches the Rfam family "Bacterial small subunit ribosomal RNA", at positions 28 to 507 of the family's 1533-position model. The record is from RNAcentral.
GAUGAACGCUGGCGGCGUGCCUAAUACAUGCAAGUCGAGCGAACAGACGAGGAGCUUGCUCCUCUGACGUUAGCGGCGGACGGGUGAGUAACACGUGGAUAACCUACCUAUAAGACUGGGAUAACUUCGGGAAACCGGAGCUAAUACCGGAUAAUAUAUUGAACCGCAUGGUUCAAUAGUGAAAGACGGUUUUGCUGUCACUUAUAGAUGGAUCCGCGCCGCAUUAGCUAGUUGGUAAGGUAACGGCUUACCAAGGCAACGAUGCGUAGCCGACCUGAGAGGGUGAUCAGCCAGACUGGAACUGAGACACGGUCCAGACUCCUACGAGAGGCAGCAGUAGGGAAUCUUCCGCAAUGGGCGAAAGCCUGACGGAGCAACGCCGCGUGAGUGAUGAAGGUCUUCGGAUCGUAAAACUCUGUUAUUAGGGAAGAACAAAUGUGUAAGUAACUAUGCACGUCUUGACGGUACCUAAUCAGAAAGCCACGGCUAACUACGUG